This 396-nucleotide ribosomal RNA is filed under the name uncultured eukaryote. RNAcentral describes it as "SSU rRNA". It matches the Rfam family "Eukaryotic small subunit ribosomal RNA", at positions 592 to 995 of the family's 1831-position model. The record is from RNAcentral.
CAAUAGCGUAUAUUUAAGUUGUUGCAGUUAAAAGCUCGUAGUUGGAUUUUGGUACGGCAGGCCGGUCCGCCGUUUCGGUGUGUCACUGGCAGGCGGUAUCUUUCUGUCGAGGACGCGCUCCUGGUCUUUAUUUGGUCCGGGACGCGGAGUCGGCGCAGUUACUUUGAAAAAUUAGAGUGUUCAAAGCGGGCCUACGCUUGAAUAUAUUAGCAUGGAAUAACACCAUAGGACUCCUGUCCUAUUCUGUUGGUCUUCGGGAUGGGAGUAAUGAUUAAGAGGAACAGUUGGGGCAUUCGUAUUUAUUGUCAGAGGUGAAAUUCUUGGAUUUAUGAAAGACGAACUUCUGCGAAAGCAUUUGCCAAGGAUGUUUUCAUUAAUCAAGAACGAAAGUUGGGG